Molecule: long non-coding RNA, 550 nt
Filed under: Homo sapiens (human)
Lineage: Eukaryota; Metazoa; Chordata; Mammalia; Primates; Hominidae
Description: non-protein coding lnc-KLF6-12:6
Source: RNAcentral
GGAAAUGAACUAAGUGAUGCCCUUUAUACUAACGCGCAUAUCCAUUUCACAAUGCCAUGGACCAAUGUUCUCAUCUCAGUUGUGACUUAACUCUCUCUCCCCAACGAGCGAGGGGCUGAAUGAUCACCUUAGUCUUCACCGGAAGAAUUCUCCUGGGAUGACUUCAAGGAGUUGUCUUGUAGGGAGGCAACAUCAGCUCAAGGGAGAAGGCCUCUUGGUUUAAGGAAGGAGACCUCUGUUGAGGCUCACAGAUGUCCGAGUUGCUGAAUAUCCUGGGUGAACAGGAGACCUGACUUCCAUUUGCCUCUGAUGCUCAGGCACAGCCCUCGGACGUGGACAUCAUCAAACGUCCUCUUCGCCUUGGAAGGGGGCAAACAAAAUCCAUAUUUCAACUCCAUUUUCUCACUGGGAGGAGAGAGGGGCAGGUACCAGUAAGAUAAGACAGAAAAUGAAGAAAGGAGAUAAGAGAAAAAAAAAGAUGUCUGACUAAAUGAGGUAAGCAAAAGCUUGCCUAUCUCUUCAUUAUGAUAAAAAAAGUAUUUUCCUUUAA